Molecule: long non-coding RNA, 1510 nt
Filed under: Olea europaea subsp. europaea
Lineage: Eukaryota; Viridiplantae; Streptophyta; Magnoliopsida; Lamiales; Oleaceae
Source: RNAcentral
UGCGUGAUUAAAAUGUUAUGAACUCAUGAAAUAUGUGUUGAAUUUAAACCCAAAGAGAAAAUAAUUUUAUUGAUAUUAAUUACUUACACAAUUUGGACAAACAUACCACUAUCCACUACAAUCCUCUCUAAUAUUAUGUUCGCAACACUAUCACAUAUUUCUCUCUCACAGCACUAUUCCUUACCGCUUUUUCUCAUCUCUCACUUCACAAAAAAUGCAAUUGAACACAGAUAUAUGCACUAUGCAGGCGCUGAAGUCGGUGGCUUUUUCUUCUUCACAAACGUCAGUGAUUCUAGAUAAUUCCAUGAAUUAAUUAUAAGGAAUUCUCAUCGACUCUAGAAUGGCGAUGGUGUGUGAAUUCUUCCAGGUUUUUCUAGCCGUGGCUGCACAAGGAAAAUUCUAGAAAUGAUUUUGGGGCCAUAGUCAGUUGCAACUUCUUCAAUUCUCCCCUUCAACAUUCACUUUUCAUUUCAACUCUUUUCUUUUUAGGCAAGCCUAGCUCUUCCUCAAACUCGACAAGUUUCCCAUUUUGCGCUUUAACGAAUGGGCUCGAGUUUGCUGUGUUACUGAAUAUUCACUUUGAACUAAGAAUUCGACUAUCUUACCCUGCCAUGCUCGUGGUGUUUCUUUAACCCAUAUAGAGCCUUCUUUAACUUGCAAAUGAAGCACAUGUGACCAACAGCUACUACAACCAAAGCUGAGGUUCACGUCACCAUUGGAGAAAUUGUGGAAGAUGAAGUCAAUAGUAAGUCACUUUCGUGUCUUUUGCUGCAUCUGUUAUGUAUUUGUGCCUAAUCACUUGAGGAGCAAGUUUGAUCAGAAGGCAAUUUGGCAGCUUCGAAUGAACUAGAAAUAUAUAGCCCCUUCAACCACACAAUCUUCCAUAAAAUAAUAUUACACGUAAAUCGAAAAUUUUUCAUUUUUUUUCAACCACGUAUUCUUCAAAAAAAUAUUAUUCCAAACAUUAAAACGUGGAAAAAAUGGGGGAAGCAUAAUAGUGAAGAGGCAUCCACAACAAUAAUUGAACAUGCUCAAAAAGGAAAAUCAAUUCAAGUCCAAAGGAUGAAUUAGCAUUGGUAAUAGUCCUGCCUGAACAAAUAGAUUACAAAGAAAAUUAGAUUGAUUACUCUGGAGGGGACAUCAAGGUUCAUGAAAAGUGUUCUUGGUGGAUUCCGCAGACAGGAGCUACCAGAUUCAAAUGAAAUGUUUGAAGAAACAUAUUAUUGGUAGACACUGCAAAGGGUGGAGCUACUAUAUUUAAAGGAAAUGAAAGAUAAAUUGCAAGAGGAGAUCACGAAAGUAUAAUGAACCGCCGAGGGAUCUAAAGAUCUAUAGGUAUCAAAUGUUAAAGAAGAGUUUAUAAGAGAAAUACAGAGUUCUGGGAAAUAUGAGAUGGUCUAGAAAAGGUAAGUACAAAUUUCACAAAUAAGAAAAUCAGGUGGACAUGAGAAAUCAAGUACCAAGCAUACCAGUCUAAAGAUAGAUGAAGGGGAAAACACGAAAGAGUCAG